AUCUUGAAUCUAUUUCUUUUAUCGAGAGGU
RNAcentral lists this unclassified non-coding RNA (30 nucleotides) under synthetic construct. RNAcentral's name for it is "RNA (30-MER) from synthetic construct (PDB 8HYJ, chain P)". The record is from RNAcentral.